RNAcentral lists this ribosomal RNA (443 nucleotides) under uncultured bacterium. Its description in RNAcentral is "SSU rRNA". It matches the Rfam family "Bacterial small subunit ribosomal RNA", at positions 26 to 518 of the family's 1533-position model. The record is from RNAcentral.
AGAGCGAACGCUGGCGGCAGGCCUAACACAUGCAAGUCGAGCGCCCCGCAAGGGGAGCGGCAGACGGGAGAGUAACACGUGGGAACGUACCCUUCAGUUCGGAACAACCCAGGGAAACUUGGGCUAAUACCGAAUACGUCCGUAAGGAGAAAGAUUUAUCGCUGAAGGAUCGGCCCGCGUCUGAUUAGCUUGUUGGUGAGGUAACGGCUCACCAAGGCUACGAUCAGUAGCUGGUCUGAGAGGAUGAUCAGCCUCACUGGGACUGAGACACGGCCCAGACUCCUACGGGAGGCAGCAGUGGGGAAUAUUGGACAAUGGGCGCAAGCCUGAUCCAGCCAUGCCGCGUGGAUGAUGAAGGCCUUAGGGUUGUAAAGUCCUUUCGACGGGGAAGAUAAUGACGGUACCCGUAGAAGAAGCCCGGCUAACUUCGUGCCAGCAGCCGC